GACGAACGCUGGCGGCGUGCCUAAUACAUGCAAGUUGAGCGCUGAAGGUUGGUACUUGUACCAACUGGAUGAGCAGCGAACGGGUGAGUAACGCGUGGGGAAUCUGCCUUUGAGCGGGGGACAACAUUUGGAAACGAAUGCUAAUACCGCAUAAAAACUUUAAACACAAGUUUUAAGUUUGAAAGAUGCAAUUGCAUCACUCAAAGAUGAUCCCGCGUUGUAUUAGCUAGUUGGUGAGGUAAAGGCUCACCAAGGCGAUGAUACAUAGCCGACCUGAGAGGGUGAUCGGCCACAUUGGGACUGAGACACGGCCCAAACUCCUACGGGAGGCAGCAGUAGGGAAUCUUCGGCAAUGGACGAAAGUCUGACCGAGCAACGCCGCGUGAGUGAAAGAAAGGUUUUUCGGGAUUCGUAAAAACUCUGUUGGUUA
RNAcentral lists this ribosomal RNA (430 nucleotides) under Lactococcus lactis. RNAcentral describes it as "bacterial SSU rRNA". It matches the Rfam family "Bacterial small subunit ribosomal RNA", at positions 28 to 442 of the family's 1533-position model. Lineage: Bacteria; Bacillati; Bacillota; Bacilli; Lactobacillales; Streptococcaceae. The record is from RNAcentral.